CCUACGGGAGGCAGCAGUGGGGAAUCUUGCGCAAUGGGCGAAAGCCUGACGCAGCAACGCCGCGUGCGGGACGAAGGCCCUCGGGUUGUAAACCGCUUUCAGCAGGGACGAUGAUGACGGUACCUGCAGAAGAAGCCCCGGCCAACUACGUGCCAGCAGCCGCGGUAAUACGUAGGUGGCAAGCGUUGUCCGGAAUUAUUGGGCGUAAAGCGCGCGCGGGCGGUCCUUUAAGUCUGAUGUGAAAGCCCACGGCUCAACCGUGGAGGGUCAUUGGAAACUGGGGGACUUGAGUACAGAAGAGGAAAGCGGAAUUCCACGUGUAGCGGUGAAAUGCGUAGAGAUGUGGAGGAACACCAGUGGCGAAGGCGGCUUUCUGGUCUGUAACUGACGCUGAGGCGCGAAAGCGUGGGGAGCAAACAGGAUUAGAUACCCUGGUAGUCCACGCCGUAAACGAUGAGUGCUAAGUGUUAGGGGGUUUCCGCCCCUUAGUGCUGCAGCUAACGCAUUAAGCACUCCGCCUGGGGAGUACGGCCGCAAGGCUGAAACUCAAAGGAAUUGACGG
Molecule: ribosomal RNA, 562 nt
Filed under: uncultured bacterium
Lineage: Bacteria
Description: bacterial SSU rRNA
Rfam family: Bacterial small subunit ribosomal RNA
Source: RNAcentral